Molecule: long non-coding RNA, 617 nt
Organism: Homalodisca vitripennis (glassy-winged sharpshooter)
Lineage: Eukaryota; Metazoa; Arthropoda; Insecta; Hemiptera; Cicadellidae
Exons: 2
Source: RefSeq, a predicted model, not a curated record
AACACUUCACUUUUUGUCCAACAUUAAAAGCCAUUUCUCGAACUUCAAUACCAGUAAACUGUAAUGGAGGAGGUUAGAUUAAGUUUUUAUAGCACCAACAAUAUUCUUCAAUAAAACAGCUGUUUUUCAUAAUGAGUGUUGUUAAACAGCUGUUCUUUAAAACUGCAGCGCAGUAAUCAAAUCAGGUAAUUCAAGAAAUAAAUGUGUAUUGGAAACAAGAUUUGUAAAAUUACCAGCAAGUUAUAUGUUGUAAAUGAGCUCAACUUAUAUAUUUAGUAUAUAUUUUCAGGUCAAAGCCAACCGAAGGAUGAAGUGGCUGCGAAGAAGAAAAGAAACAGAACAGACAACAGAAACCGAACUUGGAAACGACAGCCACAGCCUAAACAGGUGGACGAGGAGGAGUACAGUUCCGUGACGUGGUGUCCUCCCUCAGGACAAACCGGAGACGGCAGGACCAGUCUCAAUGACAAGUUGGGAUACUGAUUGGUCUUCACUUGGAAGUGUUGUUUACAAGGUCAAGACUUGCAUUUCAUUUAUACUGGUAAUCUUUUUGGUAAUUAGUGCUGAUAAUGUGAUUUACCUUUAAUUAAUGAUUAUUAAAAUAAAUUAUACUUGUA